UCCACGCCGUAAACGAUGUCAAUUAGCCGUUGGGAGACUUGUUUUCUUAGUGGCGCAGCUAACGCGAUAAAUUGACCGCCUGGGGAGUACGGCCGCAAGGUUAAAACUCAAAUGAAUUGACGGGGGCCCGCACAAGCGGUGGAGCAUGUGGUUUAAUUCGAUGCAACGCGAAGAACCUUACCAGGUCUUGACAUCCUGAGAACUUUCUAGAGAUAGAUUGGUGCCUUCGGGAACUCAGUGACAGGUGCUGCGUGGCUGUCGUCAGCUCGUGUCGUGAGAUGUUGGG
RNAcentral lists this ribosomal RNA (286 nucleotides) under uncultured Gammaproteobacteria bacterium. Its description in RNAcentral is "partial 16S ribosomal RNA". It matches the Rfam family "Bacterial small subunit ribosomal RNA", at positions 794 to 1079 of the family's 1533-position model. The record is from RNAcentral. Lineage: Bacteria; Pseudomonadati; Pseudomonadota; Gammaproteobacteria.